GCUCGCUUAAUUCAGUUGGGAGAAGGUUUCCCUUACAAGGAAGAGGUCGUAAGUUCAAGUCUUACAGCGAGCA
RNAcentral lists this transfer RNA (73 nucleotides) under Caudoviricetes sp. RNAcentral's name for it is "tRNA-Val". It matches the Rfam family "tRNA". Rfam says of the family: Transfer RNA (tRNA) molecules are approximately 80 nucleotides in length. Their secondary structure includes four short double-helical elements and three loops (D, anti-codon, and T loops). The record is from RNAcentral. Lineage: Duplodnaviria; Heunggongvirae; Uroviricota; Caudoviricetes.